This 5943-nucleotide long non-coding RNA is filed under the name Daucus carota (carrot). RNAcentral's name for it is "long non-coding RNA (DCAR_LNC000755)". Lineage: Eukaryota; Viridiplantae; Streptophyta; Magnoliopsida; Apiales; Apiaceae. The record is from RNAcentral.
GUCGGUGGUUAGUAUACUUGAAGGCAGUGUUAAAAAAAAGUGUGGAUGAAUAGAGAACUAUACCAUAACAGUGACUUCACCCUGAUAACUAACAGUAAUGGAUCAUGUGUCUACUCAAUACAUAUAUGUAGUAUCGUGUGCAUACCUGAGCUGAGAGAUGACAUCUUGUAUAGGUUACAACUGUGGGUGUAUCCUCCUGAUGCAACCUUGUAAGUAUAAGUCUUCUGUUGUCUCUCUCAGCAAUAAGGAUGGAAAUUAUAUUUGUAAGGUGUUAACACUGAAAAGACAACAGGGACCUAAACCCUUAUUUAUAUGCCUCUUAGAAAUUAAUGGCAAGAGAAUAUAAAUCGUCCAUCACAAUGUAUAUAGCUCUGUACCCAUAAUAAAGAGGCAACUGUUUAUUUUCUUCUUUUACUAAAUAACAUUUAAGGCUUUAAUAUAUUAUCAAUCCUCAAAUAUUACUCUAUUAAAUCAAUAUUCUGUAACAUGAUUAAACAUAAGUAGUAUAGGCCACAAAUAAAUAUUCUAACAUUCUCCCACUUGGCCGUAUUACUACUUAUAUUUCAAAACAUGUAUUUACAUCUUUAACUUGGCCAAUUAUUGAUUUAAUAUCUUCAUACAUUCUGCACAAGCAAAAGUAUUAUAGCAGACCAAUGCAAUCUAUUUGUAUCACAGUGAAUACAAGACCCUCAUUGAUCAUACCAGCAACACUUCCACAAAGAACAAAAUUAGCAUUAAUCAUAAUGGUAUGAAUAAGAUUUUUUAAUAAGUGAUAAUUAUCAAAUCCAUUCAUAUGGUCCUCCCUCAUGUUUGCUUAUAAAUAUAAAUUCUCGAGUGCACACAAAAUAGUAAUGAGAACAGCAAACCAGUAGUAAAAAGUGAAGUACAAAGUUUCGACAAAAUAAGAGUUUACUUAACAUUAACUUUACAUAACAAAUGACUAUUAGUGGAGCCUUUUAGUCAGACCCAUGUUAGAGACAUGUUGAACAAAAGCUUUAGCUUGUAAGCCUUUAGUGAGUGGAUCCGCCAACAUGUCAUAUGUACUAACAUGCCUGAUUGAAAUACUUUGAUCUUCAACUUUCUCUCUCACAAAUAAAUACUUGGUAUCGAGAUAUAGUCCAGCACCGCUCGAACUUGUGUUGUUUGAGAAAUCAACAGCUGACUUGUUGUCGCAAUAGAGUUUCAGUGGUCUAGAUAUAGAAUCAACAACCUUAAGUCCAGAAAUAAGGUUCCUCAAUAGUAUGGCAUGACAAGUUGCAUGAUAGCAUGCCACAUACUCGGCCAUCAUAGUAGAAGUUGUUGUUAAUUCCUGCUUAUGACUCCUCCAUGAGAUAGGACCUGCUGAAAACAUAAAGAUGUACCCCGAUGUGGAUUUCUUCUCUUCUUUACAUUUAGCAAAAUCAGAGUCAGAAUAACCAAUAACUUCAAGGUUAUCUGUUUUCCUGUAAGUGAGCAUAAAAUCCUUAGUGCCUUGUAAAUAACGCAAAACUUUCUUGGCUGCCUUCCAAUGAUCAAUUCCUGGAUUCGAUUGGUAUCGGCCUAACAUUCCAGUUAUAUAGGCAAUAUCCGGACGAGUGCAAACUUGUGCAUACAUAAGACUUCCAACAAGUGAUGCAUAAGGAAUGAGAUUCAUCUGAUCACGUUCCAACUGGUUUUUGGGACAUUGAUAAGAUCCAAAUUUGUCACCUUUUAAGACAGGGGCAACAUUAGGGGAACAAUUUUGCAUGUUGUACUUUUCAAGAAUCUUGUCAAUAUAAGACCUCUGGGAUAAACCUAAUAGCCCAGGUCUUUCUCGAUGAAUUUCUAUGCCCAAAAUAUAAGAGGCUUCACCAAGAUCCUUCAUAUCAAACUUGCUUGAUAAAAAACGUUUAGUGUCAUACAACAUAUUCAAAUUAUUACUUGCCAGCAAAAUAUCAUCAACAUACAAGACAAGAAUAACAAAAUUGCUCCCAUUGAUUUUUAGGUAUAUGCAUUGAUCCACAAGAUUUUUCUUAAAAUCGAAUUUAGUAAUGACUUCAUGGAACUUUCGGUUCCAACAUCGAGAGGAUUGUCGCAAUCCAUAAAUGGAUUUCUUUAACUUGCAUACCAAAUGUUCUUUUCCUUUAACCAAAAAUCCUUCUGGUUGUGUCAUAUAGACAUCUUCAUGCAAGUCACCAUUAAGGAAUGCAGUUCUAACAUCCAUUUGAUGCAAUUCUAAAUCAUAAUGAGCUGUUAAGGCCAUUACUAUACGAAAUGAGUCCUUUCUUGAGACAGGAGAAAAUGUUUCAUUAUAAUCCAAGCCUUCCCUCUGAGUGAAACCCUUUGCAACCAAUCGAGCUUUAUAUCUUUCAACGUUUCCAUUAGAGUCUAACUUUGUUUUAUAGACCCACUUGCAACCAACAGGUUUUGCACCAGGUGGUAAUUCUACAAGCUCCCAAACGUUAUUAAGCUCCAUUGAUUUCAACUCUUCAUUCAUGGCCUCACGCCAUUGAGUUGAUUGAGCACAAGUUAUGGCUUCAUUAUAAGAGUAAGGAUCAUGAAUUCUGCCCGAGUCAAAAUCAAUUUCAUUAAGAUAUGUUACAAAAUCAUCAUAGACAAUGGGCUUCUUGGGUCUUUCAGAUCUCCGUACAGGCUGCAUAAUUUCAGGAGUGUCAUUAUCAUUAAUAUCGGGUUCAUUAGAUGGUUGUAGCACAAGUCUCUUACUAAUCAACUCUUUUGGAGGUUGUUGUACAUUAGCCUCGGGUAGUACAGUAUUGAAAUCAUAAUUACUGUUAUUUUCAAGGUUGAUAAUUCUUGGCUUAUCACUCCCACUCAAAUUACCACACUCCCAAAAUUCUGCAUGUCUAGUCUCAAUAAUUCGAGUAGUAUGGGAAGGACAAUAAAAUCUAUAGCCUUUAGAUCUCUCAGGAUAUCCAACAAGGUAACAACUAAUAGUUCUGGAAUCGAGUUUAUUUAUAUCGGGAUUGAAAAUUUUAGCUUCUGCGGGACAACCCCACACACGUAAGUAUUUUAAACUGAGUUCCUUUCCUGUCCAAAUUUGGUAAGGAGUUUUAGGAACAGAUUUACUAGGAACCCGAUUUAAAAUGUGUACAGCUGUUUUCAAUGCCUCUGACCAUAAAAAUUGUGGCAAAGUUGAGUUACAUAACAUGCUCCGCACCAUAUCCAUAAGGGUACGAUUUCGUCUCUCUGCCACCCCAUUUUGUUGUGGGGUUCCAGGCAUUGUAUAUUGAGUAAUAAUGCCAUUUUCCUGACAAAAUAAGGCAAAUGGACCUUUUGCUUGUCCCAAGUCGGAGUGUUUACCAUAAUAUUCUCCGCCUCUAUCUGAUCUCACAAUUUUAAUAUCUUCACCUAGUUGUUUUUCAACUUCUGCCUUAAAAAUCUUAAACACGUCAAGUGAUUCAGAUUUUUCUUUAAUCAGGUACACAUAACUAUAACGAGAAUGAUCAUCAAUAAAAGUUAUGAAAUACUUAUGCCCACCAAUUGCAGGGGAAAAAGGUCCACAAAUGUCGGUGUGAAUUAUUUCAAGAACUUUGUUACUUCUAGUGGCACCUUUCUUAUUUCUCUUUAUAAAUUUUCCUUUUAUGCAUUCAACACAAUGGUCAAAAUCAGAAAAAUCAAGAGGAUGUAGAAUUCCUUCUCUUAUCAGACGCUUCAUCCUAUCUUCGGAAAUAUGGCCUAAGCGUUGAUGCCAUAAUUUGGAAGAAUUCUCGGUACCUCGUUUUCUUUUGGUCCCACCAGAAAUAGUAUUUUCAUUCACAUUCAUUGCUAUAAGGGAUUCAGCAAAGACAUUAUCCAGACUUAAUUUAUAAAGUUUUCCAUCUAGAAUACCAGAACCAACAACUUGAGAGUAAUGAUAAAUAACAAUUCUUUUAUCUCCAAACAAAAAUGAAAAAACCAUCGUCAUCAAGUUUCGAUACAGAAACCAAAUUACGAGUCAUACUUGGAACAUAAAGAACAUCAUUUAAAUUCAAGGUGAAACCACUCUCCAAAAGUAACGGAAGAGUUCCUACAGCUUCAACUUGUACAUUCUCUCCAUUGCCAUUUCUAAUGGUUCUUUCCCCCUUUCGGAGUGUCCUCCUUAAAUGGAAUCCCUGUAAUGAAUUAGUAAUGUGAAUCAUAGAGCCAGUGUCAACCCACCAUGUGUUAGAAGGAACAUCAGUAAGAAAGGAUUCAUACAUAACAUAAUUAUAUGAUAUACCUUUCUUUUCAAGCCAUUCUCUAAACUUUGCACAGUCCUUCUGAAUAUGCCCAUGAGUUUUACAAAAAUGGCAUUUCGGACCUGCAUUAGUGUUACUACCUGAAGAUCCAGCCUUAUUUGCAUUAGCGGAACCCACGUUCGAUGAUCCAGACUUAUUUUUGUUUGUAUUAACCCCUUUUUCCUUGUUCCUAAAGCCUUUACCACCUUUGUGGAAUCUUUUGUUCUUAUGAUGCGUAGUGGUUAAGUGAGCAACAUCAGGUUUUUCAACCUUUAGCCUUUCUUCUUCUUGGACACACAUGGCGAUUAAUUCGCUCAUCUUCCAUUUUUCCUUUUGCGUGUUAUAGUUGAUCUUAAAUGGACCAAAUUGCGCAGGAAGUGAUGUCAUAAUGAAGUGAACGAGAAAACCUUCAGAAAUCUCCAUGUCCAUGCCUUUUAACUUAGAGGCCAUGUCACUCAUCAUCAUAAUGUGCUCACGUACUCCACUAAUUCCAUCAUAUUUACUGGUGAGCAUCUUUAAAAUAAGGGUACUAGCAUGAGCUUUAGAAGAACCCUUAAAUUGUUCCUCGACAAAAGUCAAGAACUCUUUUGCACUUUCAGAUUCAGGAAUUGCACCUCUAAUAGCAACAGAGAUUGAGUUCUUCAUAAUCAUAAGGGACAUGCGAUUAGAUUUCUCCCACCUUUCAUAAUCAGCCUUUUGCUCAAUAGAGCUGGUGGCCGUAGGUAUGGUGGGAGGAACUUUAACACGUAAUGCGUAGUCCAAGUCCAUGACGCCGAGAACAAUAUUUAUUUGCUCUUUCCACGCAGUAAAAUUAGCUCCAUUCAGUGGUUCGAUUCCAGAGAGACAGUUACUUAUAGUAGUAGGAUUCAAUGCUGAAAAAUUAUCAAAUUCAUAUAAAAGCUCACAUAAAACUUAAUAAUUCCACAGGCACAAGUAAAAUAAAAUAACCAACAACAAUACAACAGUUAGUCAUAUAAAUCUAUUUUUAACACCAAAAAAAAAAUAGAUUAAUGAGAAGUCAGUGUAUGUUAUUAAUCUUUCGUUGGUCCGAUCAAUAACACACUUAUGACAACCCCAUAACAUAAUGCAAAUAUGUUUAUCUAUGCAUCACCGUUGGGCAAAAAACAAGAUGAACACACUAAUGCAAAAUUCCACUUAAUAACUACAAUUUUUAAUUUUCCGUUGGGUUAAAUCAAAAUUGCAUCUAUCAAAUGUACAUUAUGUGACUAUCAACAAUUUAAUUAUUUCAAUUAAUAAUCUUUCCGUUGGGCCAGACUAUUAAUCUCAAUAACCAAAGUCACUUAUAUGCAUAAAACUUUCUGGUACACUAAUACAGAGAUAGAGAGAUAAUAAUAUUAUAAGAUAAUCAAUCUUAUUACCUAAAGAAUCCAUAAAUUAAAAAAAAAGUUUUUUUUGUAACGUAUGAUACCUUCUACAAAAAGUGAUAGCAGCAUGAAAACACAUAUAUGUAUGAAUAACACUGAAUUAGCUCUGAUACCAGAUGUUAAAAAAAGUGUGGAUGAAUAGAGAACUAUACCAUAACAGUGACUUCACCCUGAUAACUAACAGUAAUGGAUCAUGUGUCUACUCAAUACAUAUAUGUAGUAUCGUGUGCAUACCUGAGCUGAGAGAUGACAUCUUGUAUAGGUUACAACUGUGGGUGUAUCCUCCUGAUGCAACCUUGUAAGUAUAAGUCUUCUGUUGUCUCUCUCAGCAAUAAGGAUGGAAAUUAUAUUUGUAAGGUGUUAACACUGAAAAGACAACAGGG